GAUGAACGCUGGCGGCGUGCCUAAUACAUGCAAGUCGAGCGAACGGACGAGAAGCUUGCUUCUCUGAUGUUAGCGGCGGACGGGUGAGUAACACGUGGAUAACCUACCUAUAAGACUGGGAUAACUUCGGGAAACCGGAGCUAAUACCGGAUAAUAUUUUGAACCGCAUGGUUCAAAAGUGAAAGACGGUCUUGCUGUCACUUAUAGAUGGAUCCGCGCUGCAUUAGCUAGUUGGUAAGGUAACGGCUCACCAAGGCAACGAUGCAUAGCCGACCUGAGAGGGUGAUCGGCCACACUGGAAUUGAGACACGGUCCAGACUCCUACGGGAGGCAGCAGUAGGGAAUCUUCCGCAAUGGGCGAAAGCCUGACGGAGCAACGCCGCGUGAGUGAUGAAGGUCUUCGGAUCGUAAAACUCUGUUAUUAGGGAAGAACAUAUGUGUAAGUAACUGUGCACAUCUUGACGGUACCUAAUCAGAAAGCCACGGCUAACUACGUG
Molecule: ribosomal RNA, 497 nt
Filed under: uncultured bacterium
Lineage: Bacteria
Description: partial 16S ribosomal RNA
Rfam family: Bacterial small subunit ribosomal RNA
Source: RNAcentral